This 145-nucleotide small nucleolar RNA is filed under the name Carlito syrichta (Philippine tarsier). Lineage: Eukaryota; Metazoa; Chordata; Mammalia; Primates; Tarsiidae. The record is from RNAcentral.
GAGUACGUGCUUCCUGGGAGCGCUGAGAACGGAUUUAAGAAGGGGUUUGAGUAUGGCCAGAGAUGUUUCUGAUGUGCUAAACAUCUGGAGGUAAAUUAGCAGCAUGACUAAUGUAGCCAUUGCUGUCAGUCACCUUCAGAGAAGC